CAAACGAUCUAGCUUCUGCAUUAUCUCGGCAUUGAACUUUUUCUGGGAUGCCAGCUCAGCAAGGAUAGUGGCAUUCUCCGAUCGGAUAGUGGCAUUCUCAGAAAGGAUAGUGGUGUUCUGCUCCUCCAAUGCCCCAAUCCGUUCAUCUUUGUCAUGUAGCUCCUCGAGAAUCAUGGGAUCGGCAUACGGAGCUUGCGAAGAAGAUGCCGGAUACGAAGAAGCACGGCGGGCCAACCCAACUAAAUGGCCUCCUUUCUUUUUAGGAACCACCUACAAAAAUAUUUAAAAUUAGUAAAUAGGGACAAGUUGGUAAUCGAAAUUAUAAAAAAUAUAUAUUAAUAAAAAAAAUUACAUUUUCAGCCAUCCACUACAAGAAAAAUGAGUUUUGAUAGCAAUACAAGAUAACUUUUUUUACCUUUCUGCUAUAAUUGACAUACCCUUAAGUUUUAGAUAGCGUUUGCAAAAAUGCAAACGCUAUGUUUGGUUGAUCCGAAUUAAAUUCUGAAAACACUUCUUAGAAACGUAGUAUAUAUAGCACUCUCAAACUUGAAACGCUAUGCAUAAUUAAAGCAGGAAAAUAGUUGAUUUUCCCUCUCAUCCUUAUUUUACUUUCUCUCUCUAUAAAUUUCAUUUAUGAACUUUUAAAAACUCUAUACCCUAAACCAUAAACUUUAAACAUAAACCCUAAAGCUCAAGUAUUUUUUUAUUUUAAUCACAAAUCAAAGUUUAAAUUCAAAUUUUAAUAUUAUUAAAAAUUAAAUUUUAAAAUAUCAUCUAAACUUAAAACCCUAAACCUUAGACUUAUAUAUAUAUAUAUAUAUCAUACCCCAAAUUAAUUUUUUUUUUUGAAACACACCGUGAUUAAUUAUAUAUUGUAAAUUUUAACUAAAAAUCUUAAAAACGAUUAUUAUUUAACUUCGAAUCCAAAAUUUUAUCUCAAAACAUAAAAUCUAACCCUCCAACACUCCAAACCCUAUAUAUCACAAACAUUAAAAGACCCAAACAUUAAACUUAAACUUCUUAAAAUUGAAUCUCUUACAAUUUUUAAUCUAAAUUCUAAUAUUAAAUCUUUUCCUAAGCAUAAAAUCCAAAUUUAUGUUUCAAUUCUUAUACAUAAACCUUUUAAUCCUAUAUUCUAUUUUUUUUACCAAAAACACUUAAAACCUUCAUUUUAUAUUUUUACUCAUAAAACUGUAUUAUAAACAAUAAAAUAAAAUAUGAAAAUCUAUUUCUAUACAGAAAUUAAAUAAAAAUACAAACUAAGUUUCUUAUAACUUUAUUGACAAGAAAAUACAAUAUAGCAAAGAAAAGAUAAACCAAAAAUGAAAAAUUCUUAUUGGCUAAUAAAAAUUGGUGGGGAUAAGCAAAACUUAAUCUCAACCGUUGGUAAACCUUAAUCUAGGAGAUGAAAUUUCAUUGGCUAAAGGUUGCCUCGACUUUCUUAUUUUUCUUGUUCAUCUCAUUUUCUUCUCCUUACGGUUUACACAGAUCUUCACUUUCACUCUCUCUUUGUUUUAUUUGAUUCAUCCACCAAUUCUCACCGACCUAUCUCUCCAUCCCCGACAUCUCGCGACACCAACGUCUCGUGCUACCGCCAUAUCACCAAUGUGACAACGUCAUGAAGAGGAGGAAGAAGAUGCGGCGGAGGUGGUGCAUAGAUAAAAGAGGAAGAAGAGAUGCGGCGAGGUGAAUGGGACGAGCUUGCGGUGAUGGAUCCGGCGGAGACAAUGAAUCUUCAGAUCUGAAGAAGCUGUGGUGUGGAUAUGGCAGAAGUUAGGGUAGUGGUGUGGAGGUGGAGCCAAGCACGAAAAAGAUAGAUGAUUGAAGAUGGGGUUUAGAAAUUUAGGUUUAGUUUCUAUUUUUUUCAAAAAUUGGUUUAGCUUGGUUUAGUUUGGUUUAUUUUAAUAUACCAAUCCUUAAAUAUGUAACUAAUAUCGAUAUUUUAAUAUUUUAAAAUAUUUUUAUUUGUA
This is a long non-coding RNA of Brassica napus (rape), 1970 nucleotides long. RefSeq lists it as uncharacterized. The record is from RefSeq and is a predicted model, not a curated record. The transcript has 2 exons. NCBI's taxonomy places the organism in Eukaryota, Viridiplantae, Streptophyta, Magnoliopsida, Brassicales, Brassicaceae.